Molecule: transfer RNA, 71 nt
Filed under: Synergus sp. ZJUH_2016033
Lineage: Eukaryota; Metazoa; Arthropoda; Insecta; Hymenoptera; Cynipidae
Description: tRNA-Asn
Source: RNAcentral
UUAAUUGAAACCAAAUUAGAGGUAAAUUAUUGUUAAUAAUUUAAAUGAAUAAAAACUUAAUUCCAAUUAAA